RNAcentral lists this unclassified non-coding RNA (5413 nucleotides) under Leishmania donovani. RNAcentral describes it as "gene:LdHU3.07.0130(CDS-product:methionine_synthas e_putative)". Lineage: Eukaryota; Euglenozoa; Kinetoplastea; Trypanosomatida; Trypanosomatidae. The record is from RNAcentral.
CUGCACAUGUCAGCCAUGCAUGGCGAACGAAGCCCCGUCUUCGAGGAACUGGAGGAGAUCUUCCAGAAGCGCAUCCUCGUGCUGGACGGUGGCAUGGGCACUAUGCUGCAGCGCUACAAGCUCGAGGAAAAGGACUUCCGCGGCGAGGAGUUCAAGAAUGCCACGAAGGAUCUCAAGGGCAACAACGACCUGCUCUGUCUCACGCAGCCGGCGAAGGUGCGGGAUGUGCACUACAAGUAUGCCAUCGCCGGCGCCGACGUCAUGGAGACGAACACGUUCAACUCGCAGGCGGUGAGUCAGUCCGACUACGAGACACAGCACCUUGUUCGUCGCAUCAACCUCGCCGCUGCGAAAAUCUGCCGCGACGCGGCGGAGCAAGCAAGCCGCGAGACGGGGCGGCGCAUCUUCGUCGCCGGUGUUUUGGGCCCGCUGAACCGAACGGCUUCCAUCUCGCCCUCCGUCGAGCGCCCCGACUACCGCAACAUCACAUAUGACGAAAUUGUAGCCGCUUACACGGAGCAGGCGACGGCCCUGCUGGACGGAGGCGUAGAUGUGCUGCUGAUCGAGACCAUCUUCGACUCCCUCAACGCCAAGGCGGCCCUCUUCGCGGUGAACACACUCUUCGAGGACAAGGGCUACACACGCGUUCCGAUCAUGGUGAGCGGCACCAUUACAGACCUGUCCGGUCGCACUCUCAGCGGCCAGACAGUGGACGCCUUCUACUCGUCGAUGCGGCACGGCAACAUUAUCUCGAUCGGUCUCAACUGUGCCCUGGGCUGUCGCGAAAUGCGCCCGUACGUCGAACGCCUUGCAGAGAUCAGCGAGGCCUACGUGACGUGCCACCCCAACGCGGGGCUGCCGAACGCGAUGGGUGAAUACGACGAGCUGCCGGAGGACAUGGCCCGUGACAUCCGCGACUUUGCAGUGAACGGGUGGGUCAACCUCGUCGGCGGCUGCUGUGGUACAACCCCAGAUCACAUCCGUGCCAUUGCCACAGCCGUGAAGGGCAUCCCGCCGCGUCUGAGGGGGCAGCCGAGUGAGACAAUGGUCAUCAGCGGGCUCGAGGCGCUGUACUUCACCCACCACAUCGGCUUCUGCAACAUCGGAGAGCGAUGCAACAUCAGCGGCUCGCUAAAGUUUAAGCGCCUCGUCAAGGAGGGGAAGUGGGAGGAGUGCCUGGCGGUGGCCCGCCAGCAGGUCGAGGAGGGGGCCAUGGUGUUGGACGUGAACAUGGACGAUGGCCUCAUCGACGGCGUAACCGCCAUGACGCGCUUCCUGAACAUGAUUGCCUCUGACCCGGAGGUAGCGCGAGUGCCGGUGAUGAUCGACUCGUCCAAGUUCCAUGUCAUCGAGGCGGGUUUGAAGUGCACCCAGGGAACACCGAUCGUCAACUCGAUCUCGCUGAAGGUUGGUGAGGAGGAGUUCCUGCGCCAGGCUCGCCUAAUUCGGCGCUACGGUGCCGCCGUGGUGGUGAUGGCCUUUGAUGAAAAUGGUCAGGCGGCAGACUAUGCCAGCAAGACCCGCAUCUGUAAGCGUGCGUACGACAUGCUGGUGGCGGACGGCUUCCCACCGGAGAACAUCGUCUUCGACCCGAACGUGCUGACGAUCUGCACCGGCAUGGAGGAACACAACAACUACGCCAUAGACUUCAUGAAUGCGGCGGCGUGGAUCAAGGCAAAUCUGCCCCGCGCCAAGGUGAGCGGCGGAAUUUCGAACCUCAGCUUUUCCUUCCGCGGUUUCGAGGCCAUUCGCAUGGCGAUGCACUCCGCCUUCUUGAAGAAAAUGAUCGCUGAUGCAAGUCUCGACAUGGCGAUCGUGAACGCGGGUGCUCUGCCGGUGUACACCGACAUCGAGCCCGAUCUGCUGCAGCUGGUCGAGGAUGCCAUCUACAACCGCACCCCCCACUCCUCGGAGCGCAUUCUUGAGUACGCAGAGCGACUCAAGGCGGAGAAAGCGUCCGGCGGUGGCGCCGAGGAGGCGAAGGUGUCUAAGGUGGACGAAUGGCGCAACGCCUCAGUGGAGGAGCGUCUCUCGCACGCCUUGAUCAAGGGCAUCGUCGAGUUCAUCGAGGAUGACGUUGAGGAGGCUCGAACUUGUGGCAAGUACGAGCGGCCGCUGCACAUCAUCGAGGGUCCACUGAUGGAUGGCAUGGGGAAGGUUGGCGAGCUAUUCGGUAGUGGCAAGAUGUUCCUGCCCCAGGUCAUCAAGUCGGCACGUGUCAUGAAGAAGGCGGUGGCGGUGCUGGUGCCGUACAUGGAGGCUGAGAAGGCGGCUCUUAUGGCGGAUACGAACGGCGCGUCGACCUCGCGAGCGAAGCGGGUGCUCAUGGCGACCGUAAAGGGCGACGUGCACGAUAUCGGCAAGAACAUCGUUGGCGUCGUCCUGGGUUGCAACAGCUACGAGGUGAUCGACCUCGGUGUGAUGGUCUCGUGUGAAAAGAUCUUGGCGGCUGCGAAGGAGCACGACGUACACGUCAUCGGGCUCUCCGGCCUCAUCACGCCCUCACUGGACGAGAUGGUGCACGUGGCGAAGGAGAUGAAGAGGAUGGGCUUCGGUAUCCCGCUGAUGGUGGGUGGGGCGACAACGUCGAAGCAGCACACGGCGGUUAAGAUUCAGCCGCACUACAACAAGACGGUGCACGUGCUGGACGCCAGCAAGGCCGUGGUCACGGUAUCUAACAUGCUCGGGAGCAGCGAGGAGGAGUUCUGGGAGGAGGUGCGCGAGACCUACCAAGAGAUCGCGGAGGACUACCUGGCGAACCUGAAGGACCGUGUCUACAAGCCCCUCGCCUUCUGCCGUGAGAACGCGCUGAAGAUCGACUUCGUCGCUAACCCGCCGGCGCCGCGGCCGAGGAAGCUCGGCACCAUCACCAUCAGCGACUACUCGCUCGAGAUGAUCGCCACCCGUAUCGACUGGAACCCGUUUUUCUCCGUCUGGCAGGUGCGCGGCACGUACCCCAACCGUGGCUUUCCGAAGCUCUUCAACUGCCCCACCGUCGGCGCGGAGGCGAAGCGGCUAUUCGACGACGCGCAGGAGAUGCUGAAGGACAUCAUUGCCACCCGUAGCUUCCGCGCCAAGGCUGUUGUCACGCUGAUGCCCGUGAACAGUGUCGGCGACGAUAUCGAGGUGUACAAGGAUGACACACGUAACGAGAAGAUCGCCACCUUCUUUGGGCUGCGCCAGCAAUCGGAGAAAGAGCGAGGCGAGCCGUACCUGUGCAUCUCCGACUUCAUUGCCCCGAAAGGGGUGGCGCCAGACUACCUCGGCAGUCUCGCUGUCGGCAUCUUUGGAGCGGACAAGAUGAGCGAGCAGUACGAGAAAGACAACGACAGCUACCGCUCUAUCAUGAUCAAGGCUCUGGCAGACCGCUUCGCCGAGGCCUUCACGGAGGAGAUGCACCGCAUCAUUCGCACAGACUUGUGGGGCUACGCGGAGAAGGAGACAGCCGAGACGGUCGACCUGAUCCGGAUGCAGUACCAAGGUAUUCGACCUGCCCCUGGGUACCCCUCGCAGCCGGACCACACGGAGAUGGACACAAUGUGGCGCAUCGGCGAGGUGGAGGAGCGCACGGGGGUAAGGCUGUCUGAGUCGUACGCAAUGAUGCCGGCGGCAUCUGUCAGCGCACUCGUCUUCGCGCAUGCGCAGUCCAAGUACUUUGCAGUGGGCAAGAUCCAGAAGGACCAAGUAAAGGACUACGCCGAGCGCAAGGGCUGGAAUCUAGACCGGGCUGAGAGCCAGCUCAGCUCGUCCUUGGCCUACAACUGAGCCGCGUGAUCUUCGAUAGAGUGUGAUGACUGUGUGGUGCUGUUGCCGUGGGCGCGCCUGCGUGCCCCUCUGGAGGCGCCACCCCUUCGCGUUCUUCGUCACUAUUUACUGAUUCCUUCCCUCGACGUUCUCCCUUCUCCCAUGUCCGCCUCGCCUUUUCCAUACCCGUCGCCUCAAACGCGCCGGCUGCUUCGCCUGUGCGUGCGUGCGCGCGCGCAUGUUCGCCUCUCCGCUGCAUGCUUCGCACUGAAGAAUAAAAGUUAAAGCACUGAAUGCACUACACAUGGAGUGGAGAGGAGAGUAGUGGCAGCGUCGAGGCAUGCGCUUCCGUGCACGUGCAGACAUCACCAUCACCGCUGUUUUGUUUCUUGGCGUGUAGCUGCGCCUCUCUCUCCGUACGGAUGUGUCUGUGCUUCCUCCUUUGCGUGUAUGUGUUGCUCUGGCGACGGCUGCAGUAGGCGAGACGCAUGCAACCCGCUGGUGCAGCGCUCUGUGCGUGUGCGUGUGUGCAUGUUCUUCUUGCCGCCUCCUCUUCUCUUUGUUUCACCCACCUUUAUAGAAUCCCUUUGCAGCCACCUCCGCGUGCUUACCAUCCACGCUCCUGCCCUCCCCUCUCUGCCCUUCGCCUCUUCUCCGUCUCCAAGCCGGAGGGAGGAAGGGCCACAGGGGCGUGGUAGCUGUGCGCAGCACGUGGAGAGGUGGUAGAGGCUAGUGAGAGAUGGCUGUGGGGGGAGGGAGGGGAUGAGCUGCCUGGGCGCGUCGCCUUUCUAAAUGAAACGAAUACGAUCAACCUUACUCGGGAUGCAUCCUGUUUCCAACUCGGCUGCGCUGCACCAACACACUCGUACAUGCAGGGGCGGCCCCUUUUGGGGUAUGAUACUGACUUGCACGUUGGGAAUAUCUGAAGCUGUUUGUGGCGGUGUCUGUGUACGUGCGUGCGGUUCCGUUUCUUUCGCUUGGAUCUCCCCUCUCUCUUUCUGGCGUAGUUGGGUGCUUUCCUGCUUCUACGCGCAUGCCGUCGUGGUGGGCUGGCGAAACCCCCGCUGACCCGUACUUGGCCCAUCUCAUCUUCGUGUUUUCGCUCUUCCUUGCACUUAUUGCUCCCAUUUUUGGCAUCUGUGUGGGUCUGUAUCUGUUAAGGUCCUGCUGCGCGUUGGUUAGGGGGGUAACACCCUCCAACGCCACAGCAAUGUAUGGCAGCACGAGGACAAGAAGAUGGGAGACAACUCUCCCUCCUCUCCUCGCACGCACGCGCACACGAGCGGCACUUGUCUAUGUCUAUCUUUUCCUUCAACGCAGAAAUCAACGAAGCCGCCAACAGGUCUUCUAACGUGGCAGCGAAACAGCGAAAAUAAAACGAAGAAGGCAGGCGUCGUCACCCAUGUCACUGAUGACGCGCCACGUACCUGCGGGCGACUGUGGAGAGGAGCACUUGGUAAAGCGGAGGAGCGUAUGCCGCCGCGCACGUGGACCUGUGCGAACCCUCCACCACAUCCCUCAACCUCUCGCUGAAGCCACUUGUCCCACGCAAACGCGUGGCACUCUUUGUGGCAAAGCCGAGUUAUGUUCUCGGAAAGCCCCCACCCCUUCUCCCUCUGCAUGCCUUUUCGCACUCCACGCCACACCUCUCUUCCGCUAUCGCCCACAG